This 397-nucleotide ribosomal RNA is filed under the name uncultured bacterium. RNAcentral describes it as "partial 16S ribosomal RNA". It matches the Rfam family "Bacterial small subunit ribosomal RNA", at positions 523 to 918 of the family's 1533-position model. The record is from RNAcentral.
AUACGUAGGGGGCGAGCGUUGUCCGGAAUGAUUGGGCGUAAAGGGCGCGUAGGCGGCGCGGUAAGUCUGGAGUGAAAGUCCUGCUUUCAAGGUGGGAAUUGCUUUGGAUACUGCCGCGCUUGAGUGCAGGAGAGGUUAUCGGAAUUCCCGGUGUAGCGGUGAAAUGCGUAGAGAUCGGGAGGAACACCAGUGGCGAAGGCGGGUAACUGGACUGCAACUGACGCUGAGGCGCGAAAGUGUGGGGAGCAAACAGGAUUAGAUACCCUGGUAGUCCACACGGUAAACGAUGAAUGCUAGGUGUAAGAGGUAUCGACCCCUUUUGUGCCGGAGUUAACACAAUAAGCAUUCCGCCUGGGGAGUACGGCCGCAAGGUUGAAACUCAAAUGAAUUGGCGGGG